Molecule: ribosomal RNA, 780 nt
Filed under: uncultured archaeon
Lineage: Archaea
Description: bacterial SSU rRNA
Rfam family: Archaeal small subunit ribosomal RNA
Source: RNAcentral
AAGGCUCAGUAACACGUGGAUAACCUGCCCUAUCGUCUGGAAUAACCUCGGGAAACUGAGAAUAAGGCCGGAUAGUUCACAAAGCCUGGAACGGUUUGUGAAUCAAGGUAGGAUGGGUCUGCGGCGUAUCAGGUAGUAGGGGGUGUAAAGGACCCCCUAGCCUUCGACGCGUACGGGUGUUGGGAGACAUAGCCCGGAGAUGGAUUCUGAGACACGAAUCCAGACCCUACGGGGUGCAGCAGGCGCGAAAACUUCACACUGCAGGAAACUGUGAUGAGGGAACUCCAAGUGUGUGCACUAUGUGUACACUUUUAUGAACUUUUAAUCGGUUCAGGAAUAAGGGCUGGGAAAGACCGGUGCCAGCCGCCGCGGUAAUACCGGCAGCUCAAGUGGUCGUCGCUUUUAUUGGGCCUAAAACGUCCGUAGCCUGUUUGGUAAAUCUGUGGGUAAAUCAACUCGCUCAACGAGUUGAAUUCUGCAGAGACUGCCAGACUAGGGACCGGGAGAGGUGUGGGGUACUCGAGGGGUAGGGGUAAAAUCCUGUCAUCCUUUGAGGACCACCAGUUGCGAAGGCGCCACACUGGAACGGAUCCGACGGUCAGGGACGAAGCCUAGGGGCACGAACCGGAUUAGAUACCCGGGUAGUCCUAGGUGUAAACGCUGUGAACUUGGUGUCGGGGGUCCGCAAGGGGUCCCCGGUGCCGGAGUGAAGAUGUUAAGUUCACUGCCUGGGGAGUACGGUCGCAAGGCUGAAACUUAAAGGAAUUGGCGGGGGAGCAC